AUGAACGCUGGCGGCGUGCCUAAUACAUGCAAGUCGAGCGAACAGACGAGGAGCUUGCUCCUCUGACGUUAGCGGCGGACGGGUGAGUAACACGUGGAUAACCUACCUAUAAGACUGGGAUAACUUCGGGAAACCGGAGCUAAUACCGGAUAAUAUAUUGAACCGCAUGGUUCAAUAGUGAAAGACGGUUUUGCUGUCACUUAUAGAUGGAUCCGCGCCGCAUUAGCUAGUUGGUAAGGUAACGGCUUACCAAGGCAACGAUGCGUAGCCGACCGGAGAGGGUGAUCGGGCACACUGGAACUGAGACACGGUCCAGACUCCUACGGGAGGCAGCAGUAGGGAAUCUUCCGCAAUGGGCGAAAGCCUGACGGAGCAACGCCGCGUGAGUGAUGAAGGUCUUCGGAUCGUAAAACUCUGUUAUUAGGGAAGAACAAAUGUGUAAGUAACUAUGCACGUCUUGACGGUACCUAAUCAGAAAGCCACGGCUAACUACGUG
Molecule: ribosomal RNA, 496 nt
Filed under: uncultured bacterium
Lineage: Bacteria
Description: partial 16S ribosomal RNA
Rfam family: Bacterial small subunit ribosomal RNA
Source: RNAcentral